Molecule: ribosomal RNA, 810 nt
Filed under: Candida tropicalis
Lineage: Eukaryota; Fungi; Ascomycota; Pichiomycetes; Serinales; Debaryomycetaceae
Description: LSU rRNA
Rfam family: Eukaryotic large subunit ribosomal RNA
Source: RNAcentral
CGAGUGAAGCGGCAAAAGCUCAAAUUUGAAAUCUGGCUCUUUCAGAGUCCGAGUUGUAAUUUGAAGAAGGUAUCUUUGGGUCUGGCUCUUGUCUAUGUUUCUUGGAACAGAACGUCACAGAGGGUGAGAAUCCCGUGCGAUGAGAUGAUCCAGGCCUAUGUAAAGUUCCUUCGAAGAGUCGAGUUGUUUGGGAAUGCAGCUCUAAGUGGGUGGUAAAUUCCAUCUAAAGCUAAAUAUUGGCGAGAGACCGAUAGCGAACAAGUACAGUGAUGGAAAGAUGAAAAGAACUUUGAAAAGAGAGUGAAAAAGUACGUGAAAUUGUUGAAAGGGAAGGGCUUGAGAUCAGACUUGGUAUUUUGUAUGUUACUUCUUCGGGGGUGGCCUCUACAGUUUAUCGGGCCAGCAUCAGUUUGGGCGGUAGGAGAAUUGCGUUGGAAUGUGGCACGGCUUCGGUUGUGUGUUAUAGCCUUCGUCGAUACUGCCAGCCUAGACUGAGGACUGCGGUUUAUACCUAGGAUGUUGGCAUAAUGAUCUUAAGUCGCCCGUCUUGAAACACGGACCAAGGAGUCUAACGUCUAUGCGAGUGUUUGGGUGUAAAACCCGUACGCGUAAUGAAAGUGAACGUAGGUGGGGGCCCGUAUGGGUGCACCAUCGACCGAUCCUGAUGUCUUCGGAUGGAUUUGAGUAAGAGCAUAGCUGUUGGGACCCGAAAGAUGGUGAACUAUGCCUGAAUAGGGUGAAGCCAGAGGAAACUCUGGUGGAGGCUCGUAGCGGUUCUGACGUGCAAAUCGAUCGUCGAAUUUGGGUAUA